CGGACCGGUCCUCAGGGCUGUGGAGCACGGUGCGCGCUUGGUAAGAAGAUUAACACCAAGCACUGGGAUGGGCCACGAGCUUCGGGAACUGAACCCGCGGCCUCCUUAGCGCGGCCACGAAUUUCCCUGCUCGGCCUCAACCGCGCCCAGCUCAGCCGCGCAGCCGCUGCUUCUCUCAGAUCAGGGAAAUCACCUGGACAGUCUGCACCGAGCACCUGAGCGCGCAGCGUCCGGGAAAGCCGCAGUUUAACCUUCGCGUCUUCGUUGUCUGGGGGCGCAGAGGCCCAAGGCCUCCUGCCUCCCGCAGGGCCACACACAGCACCCCGUUUCCAGCACAUGCGCCAGACUCCGAGAGGACGCCUGUCCCCGUGGACGCUGCCUCUUCUUGUUCUCUGAGGCCUGGAUGCAGAUCAGAAUUCUACCCAUGGCCAUGAAGACGCACUGAGAGGAGGGGAGGAGAGAGAGGUGGCUCCCAGGGCAGGCGAAAGAGAAGAAAAGAAGAAGAAGAAGAAGAAGAGAGAAG
This 523-nucleotide long non-coding RNA is filed under the name Heterocephalus glaber (naked mole-rat). RNAcentral's name for it is "lncRNA (ENSHGLG00000033457.1)". Lineage: Eukaryota; Metazoa; Chordata; Mammalia; Rodentia; Bathyergidae. The record is from RNAcentral.